Long non-coding RNA from Arabidopsis lyrata subsp. lyrata, 1929 nucleotides. RefSeq lists it as uncharacterized. NCBI's taxonomy places the organism in Eukaryota, Viridiplantae, Streptophyta, Magnoliopsida, Brassicales, Brassicaceae. The transcript is spliced from 2 exons. The record is from RefSeq and is a predicted model, not a curated record.
UUGUUUGCUACUUCUCUUUAGGUAAGAGAGAGCCUGAAGAUGAUGUUGAUACUAAAGUGAAUCUUAAGAAGCGGAAGAAAGAUGUGAUUGCUGCUGUCCAAAAGGAAAAAGCUUUGAAUUUGUUUCGGAUUUGAUUUAAAUACUUUGUAUUUGAUUUAAUAUUUGUAACUGAUUCUAUUGUUUUCAUGGUUUUGCAGCUGUGUGUGAGUAAGAGGAUGGUGAGAGUGGUCAGAUUCUGAAAUGGUGACAAGCUGCAUAGGUGAAAAGGUAAACUCCAAAAUUGCUUUCAACUUUAAAUUAUGUGUGUAAAACUGAACACUUGAAUUGAAUAUAGAUUAUGAAACUGAAUUGAAACUGAAUUGAAUAGAGAUUAGGAAGUGCAUACUUGAAUUGAAUUGAAUAAAUUUAUGAAACUGAACAUGAGUGAAACAAAAUUGAAACUGAACCCUUAAAUUUAAUAGAGAUUAGGUAGAUAUGGUUGAGAAUGCAGUUGUCUUUAAAUGGAACAAUGAAUACAUAUGAAGUAGAAAGGAAAUUGAAUGGCAUCUCUGUAACUUGAAGUCUGUUUAUUGUUCAAUGCAAACUGUGAGAAUAGUUUCUGCAAUAUUCUUUGUGUCGUUGGGUUUUCUUUUUAAGAAUUUGUUUAGAUAUAGUUAAAGUGAAAUUAAAUGGUGAUGAGACAUUAGUCAGCUAGACUGAAGUUAUGUUGAUGGCUAGGGUCUCAGUGACUUCAAUUACUAAAUCAAACACAUAGUUCAAACACAUUAACACCCAUAUUCAAUAGAAAUUAGGUGGAUUUUUAUUGAGUCUUUUCCUUUAUAAUUACUCUAUGAGAACUUAACAAACCACUUAAACUAAACAAAAACCCAAAAUGGCUUCCACCUUUAACUUUUCCUCCUCUCAGCCUUUUACCAAUUUGUUGUUUAGCCAAGAAGAAAACCCAACACCUCUCAGUCUUUCACAGCCUUCUUGUUCUGAAUCCCAAACACCCACAUCCUUAGCUAGGGAACCUAGAGUGAGAUGGAGUCUUCCUGAAGAGAAGGCACUUGCAAGUGCCUGGCUCAACACAUCCAAAGACUCAGUUGUGGGGAAUGAGCAGAGAUCAGCAGCCUUUUGAGAUAGGGUUGCAUCAUAUUAUGCUGCGUGACUUGCUUUCUCUAAGCACCAUCUGAGAGGCAAACACUUUAAGCAGAAAUGGCAAAAAAUAAAUGAGCUUGCAUGAAAUUUGUUGGCUGCUAUGAGUAUGCAUCUCGGACUCCUCGCAAUGGAGAGACUGACGAUGACAUUCUAGUGCUGGCCUACAAGCUUUACCACCAGGAUCAAAAAACCAAAUCAGUCUAGCAUGUGUGGAGAAUCCUCAAGACUGAUCAGAAAUGGUGCAAUUGGUGUGAGACAAAAAUCAAACCUGUCAAGAAGAAAGCUAAAACUUUCUAAGGUAGAAGAAAAGAGUUUUCAAAGGCUUAUAGGGGUCAAGGCAUCCAAGGCUUUAGCCAAGUCCAAAGGUAAGGGAAAGAGCCAAUUCUGUGGCUGAACUUCAAGGUUUGUGAGAAAAGAAGGAGAAAGAUUUUGAUGUCAAAGAGAGACUCUCUAAGCAGAAGCUCCUUGACAGCCUUCUUGGAAGGUCUGAUGGUUUGAGUGAGCUGGAAAUUGAACUCAAGAACACUCUUAUCAAAGAAUCUAGUGGAACUCCUCUAGAAUCUAGUGGUGUCGGCAAGGAAAGGAAUCUGGUUCUUUGUUGCUUUCAUGUAAAGUUGUAUUGCUUUGUUUUAUUCGGAUGUACCAAACAUUUUCUAUGGUCACAAUGUAUUAGUACUUUAUGGUCAGAUUGUUGUUUUUUGUUUUUAUUUUGUAUGGUCACAAUUGUUUGUAUUAUGUACUUUAUGACUUUGUUGUAUUUUCACAAAUUCUCUUAUAUAUAUAAGUUAUAUC